Molecule: long non-coding RNA, 579 nt
Organism: Dunckerocampus dactyliophorus (ringed pipefish)
Lineage: Eukaryota; Metazoa; Chordata; Actinopteri; Syngnathiformes; Syngnathidae
Exons: 3
Source: RefSeq, a predicted model, not a curated record
UAGUGUUUGAUAAUGCUUUAUUCCUACUUUCUUAUAGUUUCUUGUGCCAUACCAACCCCUUAGCAAGUUAGGGGCUAUGGAGCAGCUAUGGAUGUCCAUCUCGUUACGUUUGUAGCUUGCCUCUUGCUUGUUGUGGGAGACGCAUUCAUUCACGGCUCCGUUGUUUACGCUCCGGAGCGGCUGUUAGCUUUGAGCCACACAUCGCUUCGCUACGCCGAGCGACCAGAGAUCCCCGCGGGGAUACGGAGGAGGAGAGGCUGCAUAGCGGGAGUGAACAGCGGUAUAGAUAGACGGUAUAAACCAUGUUUACCGUCUGUCAUCAUGGGGAACGUGUGGUGGAAGAGCUAACGGCGCUAACCCGGCUGCAGAGAGACUACCACAAAUAGAAAAGUCUACCAGGCAGCAGGUCCAGGUCCAACCUGACUAGGGUGCACGUACUGCAGCUCUGCUGGAUGUCAUCUGCCCGGUGCUGUGCUCUAUCCAGUCACAAUGGCGGUUGCAGGAUACCGAAAAUGCCUCCUUUCUUCCUUUCCCUCGUUCCCUCAAUCCUUCCUGUCUCCCACGAGCCAUCAAACUGAG